RNAcentral lists this ribosomal RNA (207 nucleotides) under uncultured bacterium. RNAcentral's name for it is "partial 16S ribosomal RNA". It matches the Rfam family "Bacterial small subunit ribosomal RNA", at positions 568 to 774 of the family's 1533-position model. The record is from RNAcentral.
CUCGUAGGCGGUUCGUCGCGUCCGGUGUGAAAGUCCAUCGCUUAACGGUGGAUCUGCGCCGGGUACGGGCGGGCUGGAGUGCGGUAGGGGAGACUGGAAUUCCCGGUGUAACGGUGGAAUGUGUAGAUAUCGGGAAGAACACCAAUGGCGAAGGCAGGUCUCUGGGCCGUUACUGACGCUGAGGCGCGAAAGCGUGGGGAGCAAACA